RNAcentral lists this ribosomal RNA (545 nucleotides) under Pipistrellus pipistrellus (common pipistrelle). RNAcentral describes it as "partial 16S ribosomal RNA". It matches the Rfam family "Bacterial large subunit ribosomal RNA", at positions 1844 to 2610 of the family's 2925-position model. The record is from RNAcentral. Lineage: Eukaryota; Metazoa; Chordata; Mammalia; Chiroptera; Vespertilionidae.
UAGAGGCACUGCCUGCCCAGUGACUUCAGUUCAACGGCCGCGGUAUCCUGACCGUGCAAAGGUAGCAUAAUCACUUGUUCCCUAAAUAGGGACUUGUAUGAAUGGCUCCACGAGGGUUUCGCUGUCUCUUGCUUCAAAUCAGUGAAAUUGACAUUCCCGUGAAGAGGCGGGAAUUCAAAAAUAAGACGAGAAGACCCUAUGGAGCUUUAAUUAACUAACUCACAUAAUUCACAACCAAUCCCUCUACAGAGGACAAAUUUACUUUAACUGAGUUAGAAAUUUGGGUUGGGGUGACCUCGGAAUAAAACUUAACCUCCGAGAAAAAUCAAUUAAGACCUACAAGUCAAAAUUAUGUAAUAAUACACUGAUCCGUCAACGACGAUCAACGAAACAAGUUACCCUAGGGAUAACAGCGCAAUCCUAUUUAAGAGUCCAUAUCGACAAUUAGGGUUUACGACCUCGAUGUUGGAUCAGGACAUCCCAAUGGUGCAGCAGCUAUUAAUGUGUUCGUUUGUUCAACGAUUAAAGUCCUACGUGAUCUGAGU